AACAAGGCGUACCUGCGGACCUGCGGAAGGAUCAUUACUGAGUCACGUGCUCAAACAACCCUUCUGUGGACCUGAAAUAAAACCGUUGCCUCGGCGGGCGGUCCCCCCCAGACCAACCCCACGUGGUGGGUUAGGGGAGACCAGACAGUCCGGUACGCUUAAGGCGUCCGGCGCCAGCCGCUGGCCCCAAACAAUUAAACUCUAGUAAUCUUUACCUUCUGAGUUUCAAUAUUUAAAAAU
This 240-nucleotide unclassified non-coding RNA is filed under the name soil metagenome. RNAcentral describes it as "partial contains 5.8S ribosomal RNA, internal transcribed spacer 2, and large subunit ribosomal RNA". The record is from RNAcentral.